AAAUUUCAUUUGGUCACGUGUCAUUACAUGGAUUUUUCUGUGUCAGGUUAUUUUUGGCCCACGCUGAGUAUGGCCAAGAAAUCUGAAGUGAGCGGCCGGAUGGAGAUACCUUAUCUCUUUCUUUUUAUCACUUUAACUUUACCUCACAGGCUCACACAUCUCCCUCUCACCUCUUGUAUCUCCCUUUAUUCUCUUCCCUUAUCGUAACUAAAAAAACCCUAGCUGUUUCUCCCCAAGAACAAAGGGGUUGAAUUAUUAAUCGAAUAAGAAAUCUCAAACCAUGACUAAAUCAUGUCUUUAUAUUAUUAUUUUGGUUCUAAAACCAAUUUCAUCUUCAUCUAAACUCAGAAGUAAGUAGUGGUUGAAGUAAUUUCUUUCCAUCUCAGAAAAUCCGAUAAUUGAUUAUCCAGAAUUGAAGAGAUGGAUGGAAAUAGAGGAGCUAAUCUAAGAACAGUAGAAGAAGUGAUUUUAAAGGUAGAAGAGCUGAAAUACUUUAAUCUCUCACUUCUGAGAGCUGCUCAAGAAGCCUGUUGUACUUGAUAAGAAGUCAGUUCAAUUUCCCAAUCCUUGAUGUGGAGUUGUUUCUGGCGCUCAUCUGUUAACUUUAUGGAGAGACUUUUUUAACUAAGAUUGUUCAUCAGAAAUAUGCUUGAGUAUUACCAGAACGACGCUUGAAAUGAUUAGGAGGGAUUUGCUCACUGGACAUGGGCACCUUACCUUCUAUGGUAACUAGUUUAAAAUCCUGCUAUGAAGAGGAUUGAUGGUGGCAAGGUGACUGCUCGCAUACUACAGUUUAUGACUAUUGGAAAGAAUAGCACUCCACAAAAGGUAAAUCUAGUUUGAUUGUCUUAAUCCAAAUUGGUAAUCUCAUCUAUUUCUGGAAAAAGAUUUGUUUGAGAUUAGCUACACCCAUUAAUGUGGUCAGUCAUCUAAUUACAUUUUCUCAUUAAACCAUGUUUACAAUCUUUUCUUACCAUGUUCUUGGUCCUGUCCAUUGCAUCUGGACCCAUAUUCCUCGAUCUGUGAGUAGUUGUGUAGUUAACAUUUCAAGAAUAUCCAAAUCAAUUCACUUGUAGCUAUGAUAGGUAACAAUUUGUUCUUAUCACAUGAAUUCGGUGUAUAAGUUUGGUGGUGGGAAGUGUUUUCGCUUUUUUCUUGCUUUUAACCAGUGCCAUAUUUAUAGUCUCACUCUCAUCACUGUGCACUAGGUGUUUUCACUUCCAUUCUAACCUGAAAGUUCAGCUCUGGUCUUACGAAUCAUUAUUUGAACACCUCUUAAAAUCUUAUUAUCUCUUUAUCUUCUUGUGUGUUUGACAGAUUGUUACUGAAUUUAAUGUCGAGUACGCAUAACCUGCAUUUCAACUUGUAAUUAUUGAAUUAGUUUCUUUUAGGCUUUUUAAUUGGUUUGUACCUGAUUUGCUAACAUUUGGCUGUAGGGUUACUGAAUGAAAACGUGUCCCCUUUUCCCAUUUGUGUUUUAUAUGAAAUUUUUAUUUCAUGAUAGAUAUCUUUCAUACAUUAUGGAUGUGGCUACACCUACGGCUGAUUGCCUCACCUUAUUGUAUGAUUUAUUAUAUCCAGUAAAAGUGAAGGGCAAUGCCAAAAGCACUUUAAGUUAUCGAGAGGUAAUUAUUAUAUGGGUUUUGUUAUCUUGUGCAUCCAUGCACAAGAUAAGAGCUAAUCAUUGGCAUCGGGAAUGAUAAAAUACAAUAAAAAAAAUAUGAGAGAUAGUGUAUCUUGCAUUGGAGAAGGUAAUGUUUGCAGAAAAAUUCAAAAAAACCAUGAGCGUUUACCUUCUCCAAUCCACGGAUACGCACUCUCUCAUAUUUUUUUAUUGUUUUUUUAUCAUUCCCAAUGCCAAUAAUUGGUUGUUAUCUUGUGCAUCCAUAUUCAUUUCAUUAUUUUUUUGCUUUUGGAUGCAUAAUGUUUUCAUUUCAUUACUUUUUUGCUUUUGGUUUGUGAGACUAGUCUGUUACUAGAUCUACCAAGUGAACCAAGAAUUCUGGAAUGUUACUUCUCCCAUGAAUCAGAAUGUACACUGGAGGUUUACCAAUGCACAUACUACAUAGUCAAUCCUUGUGACCAUUUCUGAAAGCACAUAGAUGAAAGAAGAAGAAGGACCAGAGUAGGAGAGAUGGGCGAAGAAAAAUAUCCCAUAGAGAUGUUGAAGUUUGCUGAAGAGCAAGUCUAUGCUAAAGGCUCUCGCUUCCCUUUCAAACUCAGGUCAAAACGUUGAUUGCUUGCAAGUGCUUUUAUCUACCAGUCGUUAGCUGUUGUCCCUUGUUUUACAUGGUCAAAUUUGGAUGAAAAACAAUUGUGUGGCAUGGAAGGUGACACACACAUGAAAGAGUGAAUGUCUUUAUGUCCGGAAAAGAAAUAAAAUUCGGAAUAGUUAUAUUUUUUUCCUUCACGGAGAUUGUGCAAAUUAGAUGUAAUACCUUGGUUUUGGAGCAAGAAAUUUUGGAGCUGCUUACAUUCAUGUGCAGUAUCAAAAUACAGUUUUACCACAAUUAAAUUGUGUUGACUCUUA
This is a long non-coding RNA of Papaver somniferum (opium poppy), 2530 nucleotides long. RefSeq lists it as uncharacterized. The record is from RefSeq and is a predicted model, not a curated record. The transcript is spliced from 5 exons. Lineage: Eukaryota; Viridiplantae; Streptophyta; Magnoliopsida; Ranunculales; Papaveraceae.